Molecule: non-coding RNA, 73 nt
Organism: Danio rerio (zebrafish)
Lineage: Eukaryota; Metazoa; Chordata; Actinopteri; Cypriniformes; Danionidae
Source: Rfam
GGCCUAGUGGCCUAAUAGAUAAUGUAUCAGCAUCUGGAGCUGGGUAUUGUGGGUUCAAGUCCUACCUGGGUAA